Molecule: ribosomal RNA, 601 nt
Filed under: Heteroceridae sp. FC_B18
Lineage: Eukaryota; Metazoa; Arthropoda; Insecta; Coleoptera; Heteroceridae
Also listed under: 2 other names
Description: SSU rRNA
Rfam family: Eukaryotic small subunit ribosomal RNA
Source: RNAcentral
AGUCAUAUGCUUGUCUCAAAGAUUAAGCCAUGCAUGUCUCAGUACAAGCCAAAUUAAGGUGAAACCGCGAAAGGCUCAUUAAAUCAGUUAUGGUUCCUUAGAUCGUACCCACAUUUACUUGGAUAACUGUGGUAAUUCUAGAGCUAAUACAUGCAAACAGAACUCCGACCGGAGACGGAAGGAGCGCUUUUAUUAGAUCAAAACCAAUCGGCGGCGGGUUCGCUCGUCGUCGUACAACCUGGUGAAUCUGAAUAACUUUUUGCUGAUCGCACGGUCUCGCACCGGCGACGCAUCUUUCAAAUGUCUGCCUUAUCAACUGUCGAUGGUAGGUUCUGCGCCUACCAUGGUUGUAACGGGUAACGGGGAAUCAGGGUUCGAUUCCGGAGAGGGAGCCUGAGAAACGGCUACCACAUCCAAGGAAGGCAGCAGGCGCGCAAAUUACCCACUCCCGGCACGGGGAGGUAGUGACGAAAAAUAACGAUACGGGACUCAUCCGAGGCCCCGUAAUCGGAAUGAGUACACUCUAAACCCUUUAACGAGGAUCAAUUGGAGGGCAAGUCUGGUGCCAGCAGCCGCGGUAAUUCCAGCUCCAAUAGCGUAU